This 793-nucleotide ribosomal RNA is filed under the name Goniodes dissimilis (brown chicken louse). RNAcentral's name for it is "12S ribosomal RNA". Lineage: Eukaryota; Metazoa; Arthropoda; Insecta; Psocodea; Philopteridae. The record is from RNAcentral.
UUCUUCUCCCUUUUAGGGUAAUGAUAAGAUUAAUCGAAUGGUAAAUCGUUUGUUUCGAGAUCCAAACUCCGAUUUCUUACUCAAUUUAUCCAUUAACCAAGAGGAAAUCGAUGGAGGAUUAAGUUUUAACUCCCCUCAAGUGGGGUUUAGGGUAAGAUUAUUAUUGAAGAUAGCAAGAGAUGUGCCAGCACUAGCGGUCACACAUCCAUCUCUCCGAGAGUUAAUCGAGUUUAUGGCCAAAAUGGACAAGGGAUUUGUUGUGGGUGAAAUCACCAUCACUCCCUGAACCUUCAAUCUAACAAUGUAAAGUUGGGUAAGAGACCAGGAUUAGAGACCCUGUUAUCCCAAUUUACCACCAUAAAGUGGAUUAAGAAGAUAAAAACAAGGGACAUGGCGGCCUUUCAACCUAAUUAGAGGAACAUGUCUUGGAAAUGAAUUUACACACUAUAUCUACCCUCUCUUAGACCAAACAUCUUGCAUACUGCUGUCUGAAAGACUCUUCUUAACUAGAGUCUCCAUUCAACCAUUGAUAUAAGACAAGUAAAUGUGCAGACAAUAGGGAGGAUAAGAUGUGUUCCACUUCAACUAAUGGACUAAAAAGGAAUUGUUUGUGAUAAAGAGAAUCUAAAAGUAAAUCAAGUUUACUACACUUGGUUGAAUAAGCUAUGAAAGGUGUACAAAUUGCCCGUCACUCCGUAAGAGGAGAAGUCGUAACACAGUUGGCCUACCGGAAGGUGGGUCAGGAGAUUGUCUCUGGUGUGAUCCAGAGAUUUUACAGUUUAUACCACUCUAU